Long non-coding RNA from Anolis carolinensis (green anole), 1393 nucleotides. RefSeq lists it as uncharacterized. The transcript is spliced from 3 exons. Lineage: Eukaryota; Metazoa; Chordata; Lepidosauria; Squamata; Anolidae. The record is from RefSeq and is a predicted model, not a curated record.
GGCCAGCAAGGGGACAGGCUGGACCAUCUAGACACAAGACCCCAGAUUCAGUAAAUACAUUUUGGACCUGGGAAAGCUCCAGCAUCUAAAUACCCUGCCCCAUGUAGAUGUGGUCUAAGAUUGCCUGGAGAAGGGAGAAGCCUAAGGAAGGAUGGAAGAAGAAGCCGAAGGGAGAAAAAAGGAGGCUGAAGCAGGACUUGGAUCAAAGCCCAAUGCCUUUGCAGGUGCCUGAAGUUGUAGAGCCAGGGAAUCCACUAAUUGGCGAGCAUUCCGAUCCUCAGUCAAGGUUGGUUUUGCCAGAUGUUGUUGACGCAGGGGAGGAUAUUGCUUUUAAUCAGAGGGAAUCUUUUGCUAAGGAAAGGAGUGAAAGGGAGGGGGUGAGACGGAGUCAAAGGUUGGCUCUCAGGUGCAUUAAUGACUAACUUUCCCAUGUGAAGUUCUGCACAUCCCAACUCUCAUUUGACAUAGUCUUGAGAACUCCUUAAAGGUGCCUCUCUCCCUGCUCUGUUUGCGGUGUCAACUUUGCCUUGGGAAAGGACUCCACGUUCCAGUGUCUUGCUCCUUCCCUGUUCCCUGCCUUGUUCCCAUGCCUGGUUUCAGGAUCUCCAAGUUGUGUUUGUGCCUUGUGACUCUUGAGUAAACCUUGCCUUGCUAACCUUGAUUCCACGAUUCCUCAGUGGCUGUUUCUCAUGUGGAUUACAGUUUGUGGAUUUGCAGCGUCUUGUUCCUGUUCCUUGUAACUUCUGGCUGACCCUGUUUGGAUGGCGUUUAUGGACUAACACUGACUUCUUGUUGUAAACAACGAGUUCCAUUUGUGGAUUACAAUUGAGAGACUUUACUGGACUUGUUUUGAACAUUUAAAGACUUUAUACUUUGGACUAUUCUUUAUAAUGACUUUUUAUGCUACCUGCUUGCAUAUAUAUACAGUAGAGUCUCUCUUAUCCAACACUUGCUUAUCCAACGUUCUGGAUUAUCCAACACAUUUUUGUAGUCAAUGUUUUCGAUUCAUCGUGAUAUUUUGGUGCUAAAUUUGUAAAUACAGUAAUUACUACAUAGCAUUACUGUGUACUGAACUACUUUUUCUGUCAAAUUUGUUGUAUAACAUGGUGCUUUGGUGCUUAAUUUGUAAAAUCAUAACCUAAUUUGAUGUUUAAUAGGCUUUUCCUUCAUCUCUACUUAUUAUCCAACACAUUCACUUAUCCAAUGUUCUGCCGGUCUGUUUAUGUUGGAUGAGACUCUACUGUAUCUAUCUAUCUAUCUAUCUAUCUAUCUAUCUAUCUAUCUAUCUAUCUAUCUCAAUAAACUGCUUCGCUUGUGAUACUGGCUCCAGUGUGGUUUUCAGGGUGCUCUCGCAGCCUUGGGGUGUAACAACUUCUGCUUUGAAUUCAGUUGU